Linderina pennispora is the source of this 82-nucleotide transfer RNA. It matches the Rfam family "tRNA". Rfam says of the family: Transfer RNA (tRNA) molecules are approximately 80 nucleotides in length. Their secondary structure includes four short double-helical elements and three loops (D, anti-codon, and T loops). NCBI's taxonomy places the organism in Eukaryota, Fungi, Kickxellomycota, Kickxellomycetes, Kickxellales, Kickxellaceae. The record is from Rfam.
GCUGAGAUGGUCGAGUGGUCUAAGACGAUGCACUCAAGUUGCAUUCUCGAAAGAGGCGUGGGUUCGAAUCCCACUUUCAGCA